GACGAACGCUGGCGGCGUGCUUAACACAUGCAAGUCGAACGAGAAUCUACUGAAAGAGUUUUCGGACAAUGGAUGUAGAGGAAAGUGGCGGACGGGUGAGUAACGCGUGAGGAACCUGCCUUGAAGAGGGGGACAACAGUUGGAAACGACUGCUAAUACCGCAUGAUGCAUAGGGAUCGCAUGAUUCUUAUGCCAAAGAUUUAUCGCUUCAAGAUGGCCUCGCGUCUGAUUAGCUAGUUGGCGGGGUAACGGCCCACCAAGGCGACGAUCAGUAGCCGGACUGAGAGGUUGAACGGCCACAUUGGGACUGAGACACGGCCCAGACUCCUACGGGAGGCAGCAGUGGGGGAUAUUGGACAAUGGGGGCAACCCUGAUGCAGCGAUGCCGCGUGAGGGAAGAAGGGUCUUCGGAUUGUAAACUCCUGUUGUUGAGGAAGAUAAUGACGGUACUCAACAAGGAAGUGACGGCUAACUACGUGCCAG
RNAcentral lists this ribosomal RNA (483 nucleotides) under uncultured bacterium. Its description in RNAcentral is "bacterial SSU rRNA". It matches the Rfam family "Bacterial small subunit ribosomal RNA", at positions 28 to 511 of the family's 1533-position model. The record is from RNAcentral.